This 4688-nucleotide long non-coding RNA is filed under the name Vitis vinifera (wine grape). RNAcentral describes it as "long non-coding RNA (VVIN_LNC006111)". The record is from RNAcentral. Lineage: Eukaryota; Viridiplantae; Streptophyta; Magnoliopsida; Vitales; Vitaceae.
GAGGAAGAAGUAUUGAAGGUUGAAAGCCAUGAAAGCAGAGAGAGGCCUUCCUGGUUCAGUGCACAGAUGGCUGGGAACAGAGAGAUGUUGAGGAACAAGAGAAAAAUAGUGAUUGCAUUGCUUGACAUGAUGAGGUUGGUGCUCUGCUACUCCUCUUUAUCUCUUAUCAUUCUACCAAAACUGGUCACAACAUAUUCUUCUGAUUGUUUCCACUAAAUGGUAAUGCUACACUGAAAUGCCCUUGUUGUCACUCAGAAUUACAAACAAAGAACAAAAAAAUAUCACUAAUAUUCAAAACCCUUUCGGCUUUUACAAUUAAUAUGCCUGGUUCAAGUGAGACUGUACUGGAGGGGAUAACUACUGGGGACAGAAGUGACAGUCUGUUUUCUGGAUUUAUUGCAGAGAUGGCUAGAGAGAUAUAAUUGAAUGUUUUAGGGUGUGAAGUUGCAAUUUCUAUCAAUGUGGUGAUGAUGGAAGUUGUUGUCUUCUUAUAAAUCCUUGGCAAAUUUACUACUGUUACCCUUCUUUCUUGUUGGGUCUCUGGGUUUUCCUGUCUUGUUUUGUCUCAAAUUUAUCUUUAUUCCAGAACUGGGAAACAACAGCACAUGCUACAGUACCACACAACAGGGCUGUUUGUAUAACAAGUAGUAAAAACAAAACAUUAUCAGAAUGUAUAUAUGAGAAUAAUAUUAGCCAAGAAAAGUAGAAGAUUAGUAUAAUCCCAUCUGGGUUUUGGCACAAUACAUGAAAUGGUGGAUUUCAUUGGAUUUUUAUAUGCUAUAGCAUGCUAAAAAAUACUUGUUCUUCAGAAUUAUUUCUAGUUCUACUGCAUUCCAUUUCAUUUGGAUAUUGUGUCUGCAUGGAUUGGGGUAUGUUAAUGUGACACUACUUUCUUAAUUUCUGUAGGACUUUUAAUCAAGGAUUUAGGGUUUUUGCAAGGUAAAUCCACUGUAAUCCAAGCUCUGAAAAGGACAGCACAGCACCCAUAAAAAGAGGUGGACACCACAACCUUUUCUGCAGUUAUGGUAAGGUCUCAAAAUCAAGCUUCCUUUGAUAAAGUCGAUCUUAUCAUGAGAAGUGAGCCUCUGAUGUUGUAGAGUGAUAAUAAAAUAGGUUUCUUCUUCAUUUUGAGAGAGCCCAUUUCUUCCCCAUACAUGAACCUUCCCACAACCCCAAAAGAAAUGACCCUGUUCUGGAUUUUUUUAAUUUAUAAGAAAUGUCUCUUCCCUUUGGCUACUAGCCCAGACAGGCAGAUGCACUUGAGAAGCCAUUCCUCUCGUAAGAGCUUGCACGGCCUAAGGUCUAUAGAUUUGAAUGGGCAGAGUGUCGUACUGGAAAGUGAUUGUAGUACUAAAGAGAAACCAUUUGCAGUUAAUAAUAACAUUCUAUUAUUUAACUACACCGAUGUUACUAUUAUUGGGGCAAUAAUUAGGACAACAAAAGUGGUAAUAAUGAUUAGGAGGUUGAUAAUGACAAAGAAGAGGAGAAUGCAUGCAGCAUUUCUGGCAGAAGGACCCACAAAAUGGUGAGAUAUACGUUCAGACCACACAAGAAGUUAAAGGAGCCUUUCAUUGGAUGAUCAUGACCCAAGUUUUUACUCUUACAUCCAAUGAAAAUAUAUUGAAGAUGAAAAAUGGAAAAUAUGUGGUUGUGAAGGGUUUGUUUUUGCUGCUGUUGCUGUAGUUGUAUAGGAAUGAGCUGUAGAGAAAGUGAAAAAUCAUCAAAGAAUCCAAGCAAGCAACCAGGUUGGAAGUUGGAUUGGGAAGAGUAGUCCCAUUCCACCAAAGAAAAAAAAGAGGUGUGCAGUGAAAUCAGGGUAGGAAUAAGUUGGGAUAUUAAUCAAGGGAAAGGUAUGAGGUAUGGCGAAAUUGUGGUUUGGAUUAAGUUAUGGAAGGUGGGGUGAGCUAUUGCCCGACCAUAACUAGUGGCAACUCUCCACCUUUUCCAACUCAACCCAUUUGGAUUUUUGGAAUUUUGUUUUGAUUGAUGGUGACCCAUCAUCCUAUCUCUCAAAAAUAAUAGAAAUUAAAACUACUAGUAAACAAAAAAUACUUUGAAAUGGCCUUAAAUUAUGACACCCGCUAUAAAAAGAUAGUGGGUAGCCUUGGUUCUUAAUUGAAUUGUUUAUAUAUUUUGUUAGUUCUUUGUUUAAAAAAUAAAAUAAACCAAAGCGAGAAAGUAAAAAAGGGUAGAUUUAUUGGCAUAUGGGGAACUGAAUCUGGGACUUAUUCCUAUCCCACAGAGGCCCAAAAGAUGCAGCUUUAGUUUAUUGGGAGCAUUUGUCUUUGUGAUGACAUGAACAAUAAAAAUGGUGAUAGUUUAGUUAGUGUUUUUUAAAUCAUGAAACUGAAUAAUUUCCCACUUUCCAGCAAUUAUGUGAUUGAUUUUAAUUCUCAUAUCCACCCCCACCCACUAUUACAGAAUCACAUCCACACACACUAGUACAGGAGUGGCCCAACUAUUAUUUCUGUUUUUCUGCUGUCUUCACUCUGCCACAUCAAGUGGGAUGGUUUACUACAUGCCUCACAAAUGGACUCCCUAGAUUUCCCACCAAACAAUUCCCAUUAUCAAUUCUUGAUUUUCUUCAACAAUUUAUAGAAAAGUGCUUAUUAUCUGUGCUUAUUGUCCUAACACAUAUAUAGAGUGCACCCUUUUGGUUUGCAGCCAUCAAUAUCAAGUACUUCAUUAUCCCUAAUUAUGCUUUAUCAGAAAUGAAGUACAAAAGUGGGGUUUUAUCUUCAAGUGUGUCAAUUAUACCCCCAGGUUAGUGGGCCAAAACUCCAAUAAUAUUGAUUGGAUUCAUCAACUUCAAACUGCUUUAAGGUGAAACUAGGCCUAUUGAACUUUCAACUUUUAAACAGAGAUCUUAAGCAGUCGAAAAGGCUUCAGCAAAAACACAACCCCACAUGCUUCCAAGUCUAUUUUUUGAACCUGACACUUCAAUUAAAAUAGGCCUAUAAUCUAAGCGUUGUUGUAACUUGUAAUUCAUUCCUUACAGCACAUGAUCUCUCAAUGCUUCUCUUUGUCUGAAAGAUUAGCAUCCAUUCCUUCCCUAAUUAGCAAUCUUGGAAUGCUUGUAGCUAGAUGCUUAAGGCACGGAAACAAUUGUUUCAAGAAGCCACACUCACACUUCUCCCAAGUUGGCCUGUGAUUCAUCCAUGGCCUCUCUUGAUCAGAAUUCCUUAGGGCCAUGCCUUAGCUUGAAGAAGGCCUCCCAACUCAUUGUCUAUAGUCAAAUCAGGUAAUGUAAAUCAUUUGAGCAACCCUUCACCACCCAAAUUUUUUCAAUUGUCAUGAGGAAACCAGCACCCCAAAAAUGUCACAAAAGAGAGUGAAGGAAACAAAUAUAGAGCAUGGUCCUAGGACGAUGGUCUGUGGAUCGAUCACGUGGGAUGGCCCCUCUGCUGCUGCCUCUUUCUGAUUUGGACUUGUGGUCUCCUUCUCUUUAAAGUUCUUCAAUUCACACACAUGAUUUACACAUUCUCAUCAUUUUUGUUACUCUUCCUUUGAUGUUGCUAUUGAUUUGAGCUUUAGAUACUCUGCAUUUGUUCAAGAUACGACAUUCUUGGAAGCCAUUAAUGUGAUCGUAUGUACAGAGCAUUAUAAAACCUUUGUACAAGUUGAUGGAUGCAAUGGGACCAAAUAUUCAGUUCUGCAAGGACAGCAUAGGAUAAGGUGACAAUUGUACUGUAACUCCAUUUUUUUCGCCAUCCAUACUUCGUUUCUUAUUAAAAUUUGUAGAAAUUGUUGAAGGUAACAAGUACUGUUUCUUAUCCCGUCCCACUUGCAGCGGAAGGUAAAGAUAAGAUGUAAAGGGGCAACAUAUUAGUUGGUUUAUCAAGAAAACAGCCUCAUCACCUCAUUUCUGAACCAUCCAAGCCUGAUUAAUCAUUCUGAAAUAUUGAAUGGCAAGGAAUAUUAAUUCUAAUGGAGAUGGUGUGAUGGGAUGUGGACUGAUUCUAUGUCAUCCAAAAUAUUGCAGAAUCUGAUGGAGAUGGACGUAUAUCAAUUCCCUACAAAUACUAAUUCCAAAACCACUAUGUGAUAUUCUUGCACGUCACAUUCACAGACCAUACACUAAAUGCUGGCUUCAUGCCUUAGAAUGCUGAUUGCCACCUACCUUAUUGUUCUGGUCAUCUGCAAUGCUGCCAUCAUCAUCAAAAUACGGUGCAUGUGCUGCUAACCCCCUAAUUCUCUCUAGUUUAAGCUUUGAUUGAAUGCAGAUUCUGAUCAUUUUGCAGGCUGGGGUGACAAUUAAGAACUGAUCAAGAGGGGACUUCAAACCUUGGUGGGGAUGUGGAAUUGCGUCACUUCUGGUAUAUCUCUCAAUCUAAUUACCACCUGGGACCCAAAUAAUUGAAGUGGGUGUUCAUCAAUUGUCACUUCUUACACAACUCAUAACCUAACUAUAUCCCAAACCCCCCUAAAUAAUUGAAUUGAAGAGUGCUGACAAAGGAAAACCUUCUAAUUGAUUGAUGUAUUAAUUAAUCGUUGCAUCAAUACCCAUGUUCACAUUUGGACUGCAAGAGAUAUUCAUGAACACAAGAUAUUCAUGAAUUUGGGUCUCAAUUCAUCAUGUCAUCACCUUACCAAACUGAUUUCAUUCAUAUUGUAUGAACUGAAUCAUUAAGAUAAAGGCACAGCUUGAAAUCGAACGAGACUUCAUGGUAAUGGCGCCGUUGGAAACC